AGGUACAGCGGGAAGGCCACCUGGCGACAGGGAGGCGGAACCCGAAAGCCUGUCUCAGUUCGGAUUGGAGUCUGCAACCCGACCUCCAUGAAGCUGGAUUCGCUAGUAAUCGCGCAUCAGCCACGGCGCGGUGAAUACGUUCCCGGGCCUUGUACACACCGCCCGUCACACCACGGAAGUUGGGGGCGCCCGAAGCCACUUAGCUAACCCUUUUGGGAAGCGAGUGUCGAAGGUGAAAUCAAUAACUGGGGUGAAGUCGUAACAAGGUACC
Molecule: ribosomal RNA, 271 nt
Filed under: uncultured bacterium
Lineage: Bacteria
Description: partial 16S ribosomal RNA
Rfam family: Bacterial small subunit ribosomal RNA
Source: RNAcentral